CUUCAAGGAAUCCGAUAGACAAUCAGCACAAAAAGAUUUGUGGCUACCUAUGCCUUCAAAUAGUAAAUUUAAAAGAGGAAGAAAAUGAAAAGCCAUCGCAAAAUGAUUAAAACUUCGAAGAGACCGUCAUCUGAGUGGUCCCAUCAGUUACAUCCAUCCGUAUUAGUCGCAUUAGGUUGAUGUUACUUGCCUUAAAUGCAACAAAAGUAGGUGUGAAGGCAGAAGUCCGUGGCAUUGGAUCUGAGGCACUUUUAGAGUAUUCCUUUUGCCUGAUCCUCAGACUCAGGAGUAGGG
Molecule: long non-coding RNA, 294 nt
Filed under: Elaeis guineensis (African oil palm)
Lineage: Eukaryota; Viridiplantae; Streptophyta; Magnoliopsida; Arecales; Arecaceae
Description: long non-coding RNA (EGUI_LNC038065)
Source: RNAcentral